This 117-nucleotide non-coding RNA is filed under the name Mucochytrium quahogii. Lineage: Eukaryota; Bigyra; Thraustochytrida; Thraustochytriidae. The record is from RNAcentral.
GUCGUCGAUCGUGCGCCGCAGUAUUCCGCCAAUAAUCACUUGUGUCCGUCUGCAAUGGAUCUAAUUGGCCUCGUGAACGAUCAGUUCAUCCAGUUGAAAGCGUUAUGGAAGAACAAA